UACGUAGGUGGCAAGCGUUGUCCGGAUUUACUGGGCGUAAAGAGCGCGCAGGCGGUCGUUCAAGUCGCGUGUGAAAGCCCCCGGCUCAACUGGGGAGGGUCACGCGAUACUGAUCGACUCGAAGGCAGGAGAGGGAAGUGGAAUUCCCGGUGUAGUGGUGAAAUGCGUAGAUAUCGGGAGGAACACCAACAGCGAAGGCAGCACUCUGGGCCGGUACUGACGCUGAGGAGCGAAAGCAUGGGGAGCGAACAGG
Molecule: ribosomal RNA, 253 nt
Filed under: uncultured bacterium
Lineage: Bacteria
Description: partial 16S ribosomal RNA
Rfam family: Bacterial small subunit ribosomal RNA
Source: RNAcentral